Molecule: transfer RNA, 70 nt
Filed under: Gyrinomimus myersi
Lineage: Eukaryota; Metazoa; Chordata; Actinopteri; Beryciformes; Cetomimidae
Description: tRNA-Pro
Rfam family: tRNA
About the family: Transfer RNA (tRNA) molecules are approximately 80 nucleotides in length. Their secondary structure includes four short double-helical elements and three loops (D, anti-codon, and T loops).
Source: RNAcentral
CAGGGGGUAGUUUAAUUAAGAAUCCUAGCUUUGGGAGCUAGGAGUGGGAGUUAGAAUCUCCUCUCCCUGA